UUAUUUCUUUUCGCCGCGCGAUCUUUUCGCCGCGAUCGAGAGAGGAGCGCUUGCUGACUGAUUUAUCGCGCGAAAUUGCACGGCUCCGUCCAAAUUACAAACCGAAGCCGCGAUAAUCGCGCGCAGAAUUUCCGGUUACGUAAGGAGCCCGACCAGGCGGUUUCCCUCCCUUCGAAUCUCCCGCCCUCUCUCCCUCCUCCUCCUCCUAUCCGCCAGCCGGCUUACAUAACCUCGUCUCUAUGAAUCGAUAAUGGCUUCGCCUUAACUAGGCACGCCUUAAACGCGCCUGGACCUCUCCGGAUUUCCAUUUUUCCUUCAACAAUGAACGAGUGAAAAGUUACGACGAGUGGGAGAAGCAAGAGCGGAAAAUUGGGCGAGCUUGAUCUUCGAUUGGAACGAUUGGCCAGUGUUGUGUGGACGUAAUAUCGCAUAUAUAGCGGGGUAGAGGAAGUGGAAGAGAGAAAUAGAGUGAUUUGUUUUUUAAAAAUAUCGUGACAACUCUUUUGGGAUUGAUUUCCUUGUUUAGCAGUGAAUAUCGUAAUAUCGUGAGAAAAGGAAAUAGGAGAGAUAUUAAACGAGUUGUUGUAAUCAUGUUUUUAAUAAAAUUUUAUAUAGAUAGAGAAAUUGUAAUGAUUCUUCGUAAAAAUUGUAUCGAUAAUGGUGAUGAUUUCGGAGGAAUUGAACGUUGAAUAUUUCUGGAUAUAUUUGUGGAAUAUAAUAAUAAUAAUAAAGAAAUAUUUAUACGAUUGAAGAAACACAAUUCUAGAAACAAAAUAUUCUUUUUAAAGGAAUUUAUUAUUUUAGCAACGUGUACGGCUUUUGAUCGAUAUGAACUGUUUUAGCAGAAAGGAUGCUCUUUUAACGGGGCUUGUUCACUUUGAUGAAUGGUGCGAAAUAUGCAAUUAUAUGUUAACGUGGAUAAUAUCCGACACGAAAUACAGUUUAACAAGUAACAAAUAGGAAUGCACGAUUUUCGACAUGCGAGUUUCUAUUUACAUUUCAAUGGAAUAUAAUAUUGAAAUAUUAUGCUAAAAUAUGAUGAUUUAUAGGUAUUCCAAUGUUCCCCAUCUAUCACGAACCUCUCAAAUAAUUAACCGGGCGAACGACAAGAAAAUAUUAUAAUUAAAAUGAUCGAUAAUGGUGUAACGUCGUAUUAAUGGCUCGCUCUUAAUAUUAAUGUAAGUUUUCUCUCUAAUUAACCGUUCCGUGUAUUGUGAACGAGCGCGGUUUUUACUCGUUUUUAAACGAGCGCGCUGGGCGUGUCCGAUUUUUUACGUCCGAGUGAAAGUUCUACUUUCCUCUCUAAAUUAUUCCCCAGCUUCUUGGGCAACCAAUUUUCGAAGAAGAAUUCCAAUCUGUGAUAAGCAAUUUAAUAAAACGCGUGACAAACCAUUCCAUCAUUUCGACGCUUAAAAAUUUAAAAAGAAAUCACAAAGGGAACUGCGCAAUGGGAUCGAUUUUAAUUCCCCCUUAAAAACGAUUUACAAUCCAUUCGAAGAAGGAAUAUACCCAUAUGCCUUCGAAGCAUUCAACGAUGUUCAAAAUUAUAUUUUGGCCGAUAAAACAGACACAACAGACGCCAAUAAUGGAACCAAUAUUCGGAAAAUGGGUCGCGGAGAAUAAAUAAAGGAAAAUAGCCAAGUUUUUGGCAAAGGUAUCCAGUGAACCUCUCACCUUGCGGCAGCAAGCAUUAUAUUAUCCCUUACGUACAACUUGGCAAUGUCGAAAAAGGUUGCUCGUUACAACGGAACGGCCGAGGCCCAACAUCGUGUACGACGUUCAGACGCAAUUUUCGACGAUGAUUUACGCUGGUGCGUUAUGCUUGUCGACUUAAUUGCUCGUGAAACAUUGGUCAAGCGGCGAAUAAACAUCGGCGCGCAGAGCAAACAAGAAUAUAAAAUAACGGAUCCGGCGAUGGGUCGCGCCUAAUUGAUCGAGAGAGGGUGAAUCGCAUUUCUUUCUCAGUCGAUAUUUCUCCUGGCCAUGGCGUUUCUCCUAUUUGCGCGCAUUUUUUUUCCCCUCCUUUCUGUGUAUUUAUGCGCAUCGUUUCUUUGAAUGAGAGAGUUGGAUGAUUAUAACAACCGGGUUGUUGGUGCACGUGGUAUUGUUGUGAUCGAGAAUAAUCAUUAGAUAAAAUAGCAUGGAAGUUAUUUUGAGAAAUUGAUUUGUUUAUUUAUUUAAAGAGAUUGUUGAGAAAUUUAGUGGGGAAAAAAUGUAAUGUUAUUGUAUUUUCAUAACAAAUUUGGGAAAUGUUAAUUAUACAUCGAUAUUAUUAAACAAAGAUAUUUAACGUAGGAAACGGGAAGUUGUAAGAAAAUACCAUCCCAUUUCUGCCACCUAAUUUGCAAACCACAAUCUGUCAUCAACAUGUACCAAGGUAUGUAUCUCGUUUAGCGCGGAUCUCCAUUUCUCGUGUUAUUAGAUAUAUCUAUCUCUGGAACGAAUCUAAAGAGACAAGACUGUGAAAAUUAUUGUACAAACAAUUGCACCUAUAUUAAUUAACUUCAAAAUUUUUUUCAUAUACUUUGGAUAUCUUUGGAAACCUGAUUCUAUGGAUCAAAAUAAAAAUUGUUGCACCUAUACUAAUUAACUUUGGAUAUCUUUGGAAACGAUUCUAUGGGUCAAAAUAAAAAUUGUUGCACCUAUACUAAUUAAUUUUGAAUAUCUUUGUAAACCUGAUUCUAUGGUAAAAUAAAAAUUGUUGCACUUAUACUAAUUAACUUUAAAAUUCCAUAUACUUUGGAUAUCUUUGGAAACUUCUAUGGGUCAAAAUAAAAAUUGUUGCACCUAUACUAAUUAACUUUAAAAUUUCAUAUACUUUGGAUAUCUGAUUCCAAGCAUCAAAAUAAAAAUUGUUGUACAAAAA
This is a long non-coding RNA of Apis cerana (Asiatic honeybee), 2866 nucleotides long. RefSeq lists it as uncharacterized. The record is from RefSeq and is a predicted model, not a curated record. Lineage: Eukaryota; Metazoa; Arthropoda; Insecta; Hymenoptera; Apidae.